This 430-nucleotide ribosomal RNA is filed under the name uncultured Sphingobacteriales bacterium. RNAcentral describes it as "bacterial SSU rRNA". It matches the Rfam family "Bacterial small subunit ribosomal RNA", at positions 952 to 1382 of the family's 1533-position model. Lineage: Bacteria; Pseudomonadati; Bacteroidota; Sphingobacteriia; Sphingobacteriales. The record is from RNAcentral.
CGAUGAUACGCGAGGAACCUUACCUGGGCUCGAACGUAAGAUGACUGUAGGUGAAAAGCUUACAUCUCUUCGGAGCAUUUUACGAGGUGCUGCAUGGUUGUCGUCAGCUCGUGCCGUGAGGCGUCGGGUUAAGCCCCAUAACGAGCGCAACCCCUACCUUUAGUUGCCAUCAGGUUAAGCUGGGGACUCUAAAGGAACUGCCUACGCAAGUAGUGAGGAAGCGGGGAUGACGUCAAAUCAGCACGGCCCUUACGUCCAGGGCUACACACGUGCUACAAUGGCCGAUACAGAGGGCAGCUACCUGGUGACAGGAUGCAAAUCUCCAAAGUCGGUCUCAGUUCGGAUCGGAGUCUGCAACCCGACUCCGUGAAGUUGGAUUCGCUAGUAAUCGCGCAUCAGCCAUGGCGCGGUGAAUACGUUCCCGGGCCUU